CAGUAGCCACGGUAACACGAAGGGGGCUAGCGUUGUUCGGAUUUACUGGGCGUAAAGCGCACGUAGGCGGAUCCUUAAGUCAGAGGUGAAAUCCCAAGGCUCAACCUUGGAACUGCCUUUGAUACUGGGGAUCUCGAGUUCGGGAGAGGUGAGUGGAACUGCGAGUGUAGAGGUGAAAUUCGUAGAUAUUCGCAAGAACACCAGUGGCGAAGGCGGCUCACUGGCCCGAUACUGACGCUGAGGUGCGAAAGCGUGGGGAGCAAACAGGAUUAGAGACCCCAGUAGUCCCUGUCUCUUAUAA
Molecule: ribosomal RNA, 301 nt
Filed under: uncultured bacterium
Lineage: Bacteria
Description: partial 16S ribosomal RNA
Rfam family: Bacterial small subunit ribosomal RNA
Source: RNAcentral